Cebus imitator (Panamanian white-faced capuchin) is the source of this 3613-nucleotide long non-coding RNA. RefSeq lists it as uncharacterized. The transcript is spliced from 2 exons. The record is from RefSeq and is a predicted model, not a curated record. Lineage: Eukaryota; Metazoa; Chordata; Mammalia; Primates; Cebidae.
CUUACAUUGGGCAGUAUGAAGAACAAAAUGAAUCAUUUUAUUAAAAUUGAUAGCUCCACAUAAUAGAGGAAAUGACUGUGUCUUCCUUGAGUCUAUGUUAUAAUCAGGGAUUAAACAUUAAUGUUUAGUCUUUUUUAUUUUGAACAACAGUUUCUAUAUCGUUAGGGUAUAAAUAUUUAGCUCCUUAGGUAGCUGAACUUAGAAAGCUGGGUGCUUUUAAUGGUCAGAUUCCGUUAUAAACCGAUGAGAGGCCUUUCUACAGUUCUUUGAGCUUUGAUUUUUUUUUUUUUUUGGAGACAGGGUCUCGCUAUGUCAUUCAGGCUGGAGUGCAGUGAUAUGAACACAGCCCACCAAAGACUACCUCCUGGUCUCAGGUGAUUCUCUCACCUCAGCUUCCAGUGUAACUGGGACUAUAGGCAUGCACCAUCAUGCCUGGCUAUUUUUUAUUUAUUUAUUUUUUUGAGAUGGAGUCUUGCUCUGUUGCCCAGGCUGGAGCGCAGUUGCAGUGAGCCUAGACUGCACCACAGCACUAUAGCCUGUGCAGCAAGAGCAAAACUCUGUCUCAGAAAAAAAAAAAAUUUAACCGUUGUCUGAAAUGUAGGCUAAAUAGAAAUAAGUCACAGCAAUAAUUUGACUUUGAGAAUUUGUGUGUAUUGACAUUCAUCUUAGGUCCUUUUAAUGUUGCUAUAAUAAUACCUUAGACUGGGUAAUUUAUAAAGUAAAAAGGUUUAUUUAGCUCAUGGUUCUUCAGGCUAGGAAGUACAGGAAGCAUGCUGCCAGCGUCUCUCCGUUUCUGCUGAGGGCUUUGCAUUUUGUGUCAUAACAUAACGGGGAAGGUGAAAGAAGACAUGGAGGUGUUCAAAGAGUCAAAGCGAGGGGGCAUCCUGGCUUCAUAAUAGCCUACUCCCUUGGGAGCAAUUCUGUGAGAACUAAUUCAGUCUAGAGAGCGCUAGAACUCUUUCAGUACAAUGGUACCAAGCCAUUCAUGAUGGAUAUGCCUGCAUGACCCAAACACUUCUUACUAGGCCACCUCCCAAUGUGGCCACAUUGGGGAUCAAAUUUAAGACAUGAGUUUUGGUGGGAACGGACUCAAGCCCUAGCACAUUUUAGCCGUGUACUUGACCUGGACUGUUUCUGGAGAGCUAUAGUCAUGAGAAUGUAUAAUAUACCUUUAAUUUCCUGCAGUGAGUACAUAGACUGAGUAUGCCUAAAAUAUGUUUAAUAUGCAAAGUUCAAAUUAAAAACAGCACAAUUUUUUAAUUUUUUUCAGUUCUGGAUCUAUAGAAGCCCAGAUUUAUUCUCAUUUGCUACAGCAGAUUCCCUUCAAAUAACAUGCACUGACAAGGUGACCAGUGAGUGACCCAAUGUCUGGUUGGGAAAUCUCUCUCUGAACUUCUUGCUGUUGAACCUAAAAUAUGGAUGUAAAUUGGAUUACAACUGGUUUGGCAUUGAAAAAAAAUAUACACAACAAACAAUUAUAACUUCUUUCUAUGGCAGUUUUUACUGGGUGUCUAAUAUACUCUUUACUAUCUCAAGUGGAAGUCCAAACAAAUUUCAUUUUUGCAGUAAAAAGUCUUUAUUUCCAAAAUGAUUUGUUAGCCAGAAAAACUAUAAACCACCUAACAAGACUUUGGUAAGAAAGAGACUUGAUGUUCCUUAUAAAUUCCCCAUUACAAACAAAAAAUAACAAUGCAACAAGAGUCGUGUUAUCCAUUCUUAGUCAUUAACCUGGUUUUAAGUAAGUCUCUAGAAUCAGGAUUUUAAAUGUACCCAACUGUGACCAAAUAACAUGAGACGUUAGGGUGGCUUGUCCUUGGAUUAGGAAUCACUGUCUUAGGAACUUUAUCAUGGGUUGAGAGUUUUCUAGAUAGCUUAGAACAAUGUUGCAAAAGUGGGCAGUUCUAUAUGAAGAGGAGUUUUUUUUUUUUUUUUUUUUUUUCCUCAAGUAGGAAAUUAAAUCUCAUGUUUCUUUAUCUUGUGCUCCUUUUUUUUUGGAAGAAAGCAAUUCAUUUAAGGAUUUAAAAAAUGUUGGAGACAAAGGUGGUAGUUCAGAGAUGAUGUAAUAACGGUCCCUCCAAGAACAAGGGAGGAAAAGCCAUGUCUUUUACUGAAAAUGAUGGAAGUGGAGGACAAUAUAAAAAAGACUUAACCUUCAGUACACUUACUUAGCUUAAAAACAUAAAAGACCCAGUGAGUUUUUACUGAACAGUCUUUCUUGUGUUAAAAUACAUAUUCAGGGUUAUAGUAUGUUGUAUUUGGAAAUAUCCUGAUGUGUUUAAUACAAAUUCUUAGUGUAUUCAGAGCAUUAUAUGUGUCUCACCAAUGGCACACAUUUGGAUUAAGCAGUAAGAAGGCCUAUAAAAGAAACAGUUUUCAACAAUAAAUGCAGGAACAAAAACUGCUGAUGGACCCAACUAAAAAAAUGUCCUUUUAUACUAUCCCUAGGUGGUCAGGUUCCCUGAAUCUGGUGUGCCUAUAAUUGCUGGGAAGGCAGUGUAAACCCGUGGCCAUUCCUGUGCAUGUCUGGGAGGACUGCCACGGUGGUGUGGAGCACUAACACAGGUUUGGCUUUCCGCUAGAAUUGCUUGCUCAGCUUAAUCCCAUAAUAAUAUUCCUUUCUCUUAGAUUUACUUUCUGUCUUGAUAACUUUUUCUCUCUACAUAUAAAAUUUUAUGACUAAAAUAACUAAAGAAGUACAGAGAUAACUUUUGUUGAAGGAAUGAUUUGGGAGGCUUUGGGCAGACUUAGCAAAAUGUUAGUAUAACAAAAAUGUUUCCUUACUAAAAACUGAUUUGCAAACUUGAAAGUCUAGAUGUGUGUAGGAAGAUUUUAAAAUUCAGGUAUGGGCCUGCUAAAGAGACCAAUUUUGCUGCCUUGGUCUUGGUUCCAAUCAGUGUUUAGUACCAAAAAGUAAAGAAGGCUGGCUUCCUAGAAGAAUUGUGCAUACUCCCCCCAACCCCCAAAAGCAAGGGAAAAAUACACUCUAAAUUUACUUAUCCUUUAUCUCAGGUAUAAAAACUUGUUACCUUACAUUUAAAUAAAGCAGCGAUAUUUUUUUUUUGUUGUUUCCGAGGGGCAUCGGGAGCCAAUAUCAGGGGUGAGAUAAAUGUAUUCCGAAUUUCUCAAUGAAAGAACAAAAGCCACCCAACAUGAAUGCUCCUUUUCAAGUCUACCAGCUCUGUUUUCCUCAGGAACUACUGUUGAUUGAGGAGACUUGAAAAGAGACCUAAAGUUCCACUAAGAAGACAUGGGCAAACAGCGUUUUCAGUGAACAGGCCAAAGAUGAGAAUGAAGGGAAUAUGCUCCCUUCAUCUGAUUGAGAAUGUUUCCUACCAGCUGCACCCUGGGACUCAGGCAUAGAGUCACUUCCAGACAUGGUUGCCUCUCCAUGUGGAGGAGGUCAAGGUCUCUGUUCUGCCUGGCCAGGUGGAAGCUCCAGAAGGACAUGGACAUGUUUCAGUUUAGUACAAGGUGGCUGACACUACUCACUUCUGUGCAGGAAGAGGGCUGGCUGGAGAUGAGGGUGCUCCACUCAGCCUGUACCCAUCAAGAAGUAUUCAGAAAGGAUGUCCCUGGCAUCCACAAGACUACUGGGCGAACCACACUGCAAAAA